GCGAGGGUGGCGGAAUUGGUAGACGCGCUAGCUUCAGGUGUUAGUGUUCUUACGGACGUGGGGGUUCAAGUCCCCCCUUCGCACCA
This 86-nucleotide transfer RNA is filed under the name Morganella morganii. RNAcentral describes it as "tRNA-Leu". It matches the Rfam family "tRNA". From Rfam's summary of the family: Transfer RNA (tRNA) molecules are approximately 80 nucleotides in length. Their secondary structure includes four short double-helical elements and three loops (D, anti-codon, and T loops). Further hydrogen bonds mediate the characteristic L-shaped molecular structure. tRNAs have two regions of fundamental functional importance: the anti-codon, which is responsible for specific mRNA codon recognition, and the 3' end, to which the tRNAs corresponding amino acid is attached (by aminoacyl-tRNA synthetases). tRNAs cope with the degeneracy of the genetic code in two manners: having more than one tRNA (with a specific anti-codon) for a particular amino acid; and 'wobble' base-pairing, i.e. permitting non-standard base-pairing at the 3rd anti-codon position. Lineage: Bacteria; Pseudomonadati; Pseudomonadota; Gammaproteobacteria; Enterobacterales; Morganellaceae. RNAcentral also lists the same sequence under 1 other name. The record is from RNAcentral.